Molecule: long non-coding RNA, 442 nt
Organism: Catharus ustulatus (Swainson's thrush)
Lineage: Eukaryota; Metazoa; Chordata; Aves; Passeriformes; Turdidae
Exons: 3
Source: RefSeq, a predicted model, not a curated record
CUAAAAUUAUGCUAAAUAUUUAAAUCAAUGUACAUAUAUCAAACUACUGUUUCUAAAUGAAAUUCAUUUUAAGCAUCAAGUGUUCCUUCUUACAGUUAAUAGGAAACCAGAAUUCUGGCCAGGAAAAAACACUUCAGCUUCAGCCUCCCUGACAGGUAGUAAACUGCUGCAUUGGAAAAGACCUCACAGACUCUCCCUGAGGAUGCAUUUGCACUGGUUUGAGAGAUAUUUUAGACUUACAUAAACAAAAGAGAGAAAUUUGACAGCUGUAUCAAAAUGCAGUCAUGACAACAAGACAUUGCAAAGACAGCAAGAUUCUACAUUCUGCUUUCAGAGCCAUCUCGCUGCUUCAGAAGAAGCAAAUGGCUGUGACCCGGCAGUUUCCGACGCUGUAGUGGUGGUUUGAGGGCUGGAAGACUAAUGUUUCUCCGCUGCCAGAGGG